This 236-nucleotide unclassified non-coding RNA is filed under the name Hevea brasiliensis (rubber tree). The record is from RNAcentral. Lineage: Eukaryota; Viridiplantae; Streptophyta; Magnoliopsida; Malpighiales; Euphorbiaceae.
GUUUUUUUGGUUAAUAAAAUAAACUAAAAUAAAAUAUUCAUUCAACAGAAAGCCCAAACUGGGCAUCAAUACACAACAAUGAAGCUAGCUGAAGGUGGGGAAUCACAAGGACGAGAAUCAGUAGCAAUAGCCCUGGCCACCCUAUCAGCAGCUUGGUUAGCCAGUUAGCCUUUAGAUGUAUACAAAAAAUAUUGCUAGCUGCAAAAGAAAGGAGAUCCUGAUGAACACAAUUCGAU